This 418-nucleotide ribosomal RNA is filed under the name Nephroselmis pyriformis. RNAcentral's name for it is "partial Bacterial large subunit ribosomal RNA". It matches the Rfam family "Bacterial large subunit ribosomal RNA", at positions 1 to 447 of the family's 2925-position model. Lineage: Eukaryota; Viridiplantae; Chlorophyta; Nephroselmidophyceae; Nephroselmidales; Nephroselmidaceae. The record is from RNAcentral.
AAGCAAAUAAGAGCGCACGGAGGAUGCCUUGGAUUCCAGAGGCGAUGAAGGACGUGUUAGGCUGCGAUAAGCCGUGGGUAGGUGCCUAAAAACCUUUGAUCCGCGGAUUUCCGAAUAGGACAACCUAUUAGAGCCCCUUCGGGGGAGGCAAACGAGGGGAACUGAAACAUCUAAGUACCCUUAGGAGAAGAAAACAAAAGUGAUUUCCUGAGUAGCGGCGAGCGAAAUGGAACUAGCCCAAACCAGUGUGAUUUCGGUCAUAUUGGGGUUGUAGGACUUUCAACAUCUGUGCAUAUACUGAACUGGAACACGAUGGGAAACGUGGCGAUACAAGGUGAUAGCCCUGUACAGGUAAGGUAUAGUAUGGUAGAGAGCUUCCUGAGUAGGGCGGGGCACGUGAAACCCUGUCUGAAUCUGC